This 450-nucleotide ribosomal RNA is filed under the name uncultured bacterium. RNAcentral's name for it is "partial 16S ribosomal RNA". It matches the Rfam family "Bacterial small subunit ribosomal RNA", at positions 354 to 796 of the family's 1533-position model. The record is from RNAcentral.
GUGGGGAAUCUUCCGCAAUGGACGAAAGUCUGACGGAGCAACGCCGCGUGAGUGAUGAAGGUCUUCGGAGUGUAAAGCUCUGUUAAUCGGGACGAAAGAGCCUAGUGUGAAUAAUGCUAGGAAGUGACGGUACCGGAAUAGAAAGCCACGGCUAACUACGUGCCAGCAGCCGCGGUAAUACGUAGGUGGCAAGCGUUGUCCGGAAUUAUUGGGCGUAAAGCGCGCGCAGGCGGAUCUGCCAGUCUGUCUUAAAAGUUCGGGGCUUAACCCCGUGAUGGGAUGGAAACUAAAGAUCUAGAGUAUCGGAGAGGAAAGUGGAAUUCCUAGUGUAGCGGUGAAAUGCGUAGAUAUUAGGAAGAACACCAGUGGCGAAGGCGACUUUCUGGACGAAAACUGACGCUGAGGCGCGAAAGCCAGGGGAGCGAACGGGAUUAGAAACCCCAGUAGUCC